Molecule: ribosomal RNA, 273 nt
Filed under: uncultured bacterium
Lineage: Bacteria
Description: partial small subunit ribosomal RNA
Rfam family: Bacterial small subunit ribosomal RNA
Source: RNAcentral
AGAAUCAACGCUGGCGGCGUGCCUAACACAUGCAAGUCGAACGCGAAACGUCCCGAAAGGGAUAAGUAGAGUGGCAAACGGGUGAGUAACGCGUGGGUGACCUGCCUUCGAGCGGGGGAUAACGUUCCGAAAGGGACGCUAAUACCGCAUAACAUCCUGCCUUUGAAGAGGUGGAGAUCAAAGCUGGGGAUCGCAAGACCUGGCACUUGAAGAGGGGCCCGCGUCCGAUUAGCUAGUUGGUGAGGUAACGGCUCACCAAGGCAACGAUCGGUA